This 760-nucleotide long non-coding RNA is filed under the name Anser brachyrhynchus (Pink-footed goose). Its description in RNAcentral is "lncRNA (ENSABRG00000015123.1)". The record is from RNAcentral. Lineage: Eukaryota; Metazoa; Chordata; Aves; Anseriformes; Anatidae.
CGGAGGUUGGACUCGAUGAUCUUGAGGUCUCUUCCAACCUAGAAAUCUGUGAUACUGUGAUACUGUGAUACUGUGAUGUAGGUAAUAGUGUGUUCAGUUAUGACCUCACUGGAAGGAAGAUGAAGUUUAGCAACUUUAAUGUAUCAAACACAAAGUCUGCCUUCACUCAGUUCCUGUUGCCAUUCCUUUAUGCACAAUUUGGUCACCACCUACUUCAGCUGAAGCUUCAGUGUCUCUUCUUACCUAACAGCUUGGUGAUUUGAUUUCAAGACAAGGAACUCAAUAGCUUGAGUCAAGAACCCUCACUGAAGGUCCCUCUGACUUCUGUUUCUUUUAUCCUCACCAAGACUGGAUUAGAUUAGGAGCAAAGAGAUGAAGAAACUUCACUAAGUAACCAUUAUGUUCUUAUGUGACAAACAUCACCGUGUUACAUACAGCUACAGUACCGGCUAAGUAUCCUUUCCACAUUUGCACCGUAUUUCACAUAUUAAAAGUCAAAGACGGUUCAGAACUGUAUAUAAAAGAGUAUUUCCAGCAGGAGUCCUUAUAGGAAAAUUUUGAAUGAGUUUUGUUUAAAUGACUACUUAAUUCUACAAUUGACUGAACAAAUCACAAACUAAGAAUUUAAAAAUAGUCUUGCAGAGCAACACAAUUACAUUGAUGGAAUCCAGUUGAAUGUACAAAGUUUCAAAAAUCCAAGCAAACCACUACAGCCCUGAAGUAAACUAGGAACUGUAAAGAAAACCAGCACUUCCUAAAA